ACGCUGGCGGCAGGCUUAACACAUGCAAGUCGAACGGUAACAGGGAUUAGCUUGCUAAUCUGCUGACGAGUGGCGGACGGGUGAGUAAUGCUUGGGAAUCUGGCUUAUGGAGGGGGAUAACUACGGGAAACUGUAGCUAAUACCGCGUAAAAUCUUCGGAUUAAAGGGUGGGACUUUCGAGCCACCUGCCAUAAGAUGAGCCCAAGUGGGAUUAGGUAGUUGGUUAGGUAAAGGCUGACCAAGCCGACGAUCUCUAGCUGGUCUGAGAGGAUGACCAGCCACACUGGAACUGAGACACGGUCCAGACUCCUACGGGAGGCAGCAGUGGGGAAUAUUGCACAAUGGGGGGAACCCUGAUGCAGCCAUGCCGCGUGAAUGAAGAAGGCCUUCGGGUUGUAAAGUUCUUUCGGUGACGAGGAAGGUUGGUAGGUUAAUAGCCUAUCAAAUUGACGUUAAUCACAGAGGAAGCACCGGCUAACUCCGUGCCAGCAGCCGCGGUAAUACGGGGGGUGCGAGCGUUAAUCGGAAUAACUGGGCGUAAAGGGCACGCAGGCGGUGACUUAAGUGAGAUGUGAAAGCCCAGAGCUUAACUUGGGAAUUGCAUUUCAUACUGGGUCGCUAGAGUACUUUAGGGAGGGGUAGAAUUCCACGUGUAGCGGUGAAAUGCGUAGAGAUGUGGAGGAAUACCGAAGGCGAAGGCAGCCCCUUGGGAAUGUACUGACGCUCAUGUGCGAAAGCGUGGGGAGCAAACAGGAUUAGAUACCCUGGUAGUCCACGCUGUAAACGAUGUCGAUUUGGGGAUUGGGCUUUGAGCUUGGUGCCCGUAGCUAACGUGAUAAAUCGACCGCCUGGGGAGUACGGCCGCAAGGUUAAAACUCAAAUGAAUUGACGGGGGCCCGCACAAGCGG
RNAcentral lists this ribosomal RNA (908 nucleotides) under uncultured bacterium. RNAcentral's name for it is "bacterial SSU rRNA". It matches the Rfam family "Bacterial small subunit ribosomal RNA", at positions 33 to 932 of the family's 1533-position model. The record is from RNAcentral.